This 369-nucleotide transfer-messenger RNA is filed under the name pig gut metagenome. It matches the Rfam family "transfer-messenger RNA". Rfam says of the family: Bacterial tmRNA, also known as 10Sa RNA or SsrA, is named for its dual tRNA and mRNA-like properties. Its role is to liberate the mRNA from a stalled ribosome. The record is from RNAcentral.
GGGGCUGUUAUUGGUUUCGACGGAAAAUGUGAAACUAAAAUUGCAAGUAGAAGACGAUUCUUUAAACGUAAAACAAAAUAAAUAACAACAAUUAUAAUUAUGCUUACGCAAUGCCUUGUGCAGCUUAGUUAAUAAACAUGUAAGCGCUUCUUUUAAAAUUUUACUCACGAAUUUUUAAAGAGGCUCAUUUUAGUGAGUUAUAUUAUUUUAUUUGUUUAGGGUAAAAUAACGAAUUGAACUAAACUCGUUAUAUAGUGGGAAUGUUAGUUUCCUUUAUUAUAUAAUUAAAUUUUAAUCACUAACUAAACUUGUAGAUAUUUUGGAAAGAUCCUUUUUCGGACACGAGUUCAAAUCUCGUCAGCUCCACCA